CACUACUCAGUUGGUAGAGUACAAAGCUUUUAACCUUAUGGAUGUGGGUUCGAGCCCCAUGGUGA
Molecule: non-coding RNA, 65 nt
Organism: Triticum aestivum (bread wheat)
Lineage: Eukaryota; Viridiplantae; Streptophyta; Magnoliopsida; Poales; Poaceae
Source: Rfam